CCCAAGAGAUCGGGAUAACACCCUGGAAACAGAUGCUAAUACCGGAUAACAACAGAUGAUGCCUAUCAACUGUUUAAAAGAUGGUUCUGCUAUCACUCUUGGAUGGACCUGCGGUGCAUUAGCUAGUUGGUAGGGUAACGGCCUACCAAGGGCGAUGAUGCAUAGCCGAGUUGAGAGACUGAUCGGCCACAUUGGGACUGAGACACGGCCCAAACUCCUACGGGAGGCAGCAGAG
This 235-nucleotide ribosomal RNA is filed under the name uncultured Lactobacillus sp. RNAcentral's name for it is "partial 16S ribosomal RNA". It matches the Rfam family "Bacterial small subunit ribosomal RNA", at positions 129 to 354 of the family's 1533-position model. The record is from RNAcentral. Lineage: Bacteria; Bacillati; Bacillota; Bacilli; Lactobacillales; Lactobacillaceae.